GCGGGGACCGAACCCGCAACCUCAUGGUUCCUAGUCGUAUUUGUUAACCACUGUGCCACGACAGGAACUCCGCACAUCCUUUUUUUAAAAAUGUUUCGCCAGCUUAAAUUUUGUUUUGCUAUUGGCAAGAAAAUUCAAACUAAGAAUGAAUUAGCAUGUUGAAUAUCAUUUUCAUACUUACUUUUAAUCAUCUGUCCAUCUAUCCAUCCAUGUGCACAGAUACCUAGAAUCUUCUUUGCCUAGUGUUAUGUCUCUAUUGGUGUUUGACUUGAUUUUUUUGCAUUUUUUCCUUCUUUGCAUUGCAUACAUUCUUGAAAAUAUUUUACUUUAAAAAUGCCAGAAUGUUAAAAGUACUUAGUUUUGGGUGUUAGGGCUAUGAGGUUUUUUGUUUUUUUUUUUGGUACUUCUAAUUUCCAGUAAUUGGGGUGAGUAGAGAGAGGUAAUAACAUCUCCCCUACUGAACCUUGCCUGUAUGUUAUACAUGCGGACUUGAGCUUCCUAGGCAACUAACUAGACCCUGGGACUGUUGGUACCGUUGCUACUCCAUCUGUCUCUCCCUGCCAUGAUUUACAUUCUUCCAUAUCAUUUUCUUCCCUUUACUCAAUCGGGGCCACACAGCGCUUUGUAAUCCAUCAGAGUAGGGUUGUAGCUUUCGUUCAAUGAAAAAGUCCCCCUUCCCCUUUUUGUUUUCAUGGAAAGCUGUUGAUGAGAGAUGUGUGGGGUGAAGAAGAUGGGGUUAUGAUCGGUUUUAGAAGUUCAUGUAGCUGGCUGCUGUGCAGAGACCAGUUUGGAGGGAGGCCAGAGAGAAUGUGGGUAGAUCAGUUAGCCAUCCUGCCAAAAGAUAAUGGUGAUUUACAUAAAGGAAGUGUCUGUAGAGGUGGAAAUAAGAGGCCAUGCUUGAAAAACAGGGUAGGAUUUAGUGGAAGAUAAGGUCUGGGGAGGGAGUAUUGGGGUCAUUCCUAAGUUCUGAGCUUGCGCAAUAGGAUGGCGCUGGGGUCAUUGCCUGAGAUAAGAUAGGAUGGAAGAGGAGCUCGAUUUUACUUCUGAUUCAUGAGGCUGGAAUAGGUGACCUUGGGCUGGGUUUCAAAAUCAAUAGCCUCACAAUGUGUAACAUUGUAUGAUUUCGGCUGGGGCCCUUGAGUGCACUCUGGGGGGCCUGUCCCUCUAACUUGUAAGCAUUUUCUGGAGAGAGGUUCCUUCUGUAUACAUGCUCGGGUCCGGGGAGAGCCAUGACUCAAAGGUUAAGAAACACUAGGUUUUAUCACAAUGACCGUUCAAUAAAUACUUGCCAUGGACCCGUGAAGCCCAAGAACAAUAUCAGUGUGUGGGAAUUUCCGGUUCAGCUUUGUAGCAGAGAGUUUGAACUGCUCUGAAGAGCCUUUUCUCAGACCUCUUCCCUGGUUGACGGAGACCAGUCAUCUACCUCUUAAUUCCUUCGCCAGUUGUUAUGCGCUGUUUACAAAAAUGUAGCCUGGUGCUUAAGCUUUUGUACAGUACACCCAGGAGUUGUUAGCAUAUUCCUGUGCUAGGUAACGUAGAACUACCCCUCUGAGAUUGGUAUUGGCAUAUUCCCACUUUACAGAUGGGAACACUGAGGUUUAGAAGGUGUAAGUUAAUAGUAAGUGGCGGAACUGUGAUUUGAAUUGUCUGUAUUUGACUCAGUUGCAUUGCUUUCCACUGUACUGACAAGUUCCUGUUGGUUGACAGAAAAGAAGUGACACCUGUUUUUCUUAGUGCUUUGUACUUAAUCUUUACUGAAUCAAUACACUGCACGCUGGUCAGGUCUCUUGAGUCCUUUCUCUUGCACGUGCAGCUUUCAAGGUUACCCUUGGAUUUUUCUCAUUUAUUUCCUGUCUCUGCUGUACACUAAAUGCCCCCUUUUAUCCUCUACUGCUGGCUUUUGUUAGGAACUCUUAUCCCUCAUUGUGCUUUGGAAACGGCAGAAGCCUCAGAUUCCAUUAUUCUGCCCAAGUUGGAUUUGAGAUGUGUGUGGCCAUCUUCUCCUCCCACAGCAGUUUGCUAGCGUCUGGAGUGGUGCUUGCUGUUGGUGUGUUUUAGGUAGUGACUGAAUUAAAAACCUUGUUAGGAUGUUGAAUUUUCAGAGCGGUCAUUGAUGUUCAGCCUGUGUGACUAAUGGACAGUUAUCUUUGUUUCCUCUGGCAUCUUAAUGAGUUCCUGAGUCGUGUUUAUGUAUGCCAUCACUUGCCUGAUUAGUUUUGCAAGGAAACCCUUGAAAUUUUGGAUCAUCCUACCAAUAGGGGAGCCUCCACUUUCAGCACAGCUGGGGAGUUUUUUGGCUCCCUCUUCUCAUCUAGAAGCUGGCUUUCCCCAGAGCUCCUGGGCAGGGGACCACUCUCCUGUGGGGGAGAGGAGAAAGUGUCAGAGGGGUGUCUGUGUCAUAGUCCCUCUGAUAAUCGACAGUUCUCUUCAUCUUACGAAAUUUCAUUAUCCUGAAAUUGUGCACAGGAAAAAUGGUUACAACAAUAGCCUUCAGCUUUAAGGUGAAGAAAUCUCCACUCCAAAGAAAUCUGGAAAUGAACAGAAAUUAAACACUUGAAAAAGAAUCAGGAGUUCCCUUGUGGCUUAGUGGGUUCAGGAUCCAGCCAUGUCAUUGUUGCAGUGGCUCAGGUUCAGUCUGGGAAUUUGCAUGCAGUGGGCACGGUCAGAAAAAUGACAGGCUGUAAGACACUAGAGCAAAGUGUGUAUUUGAAAAGUCAAGCUUUCGUGGAAUACCACUUAUGUCUUAGACCAGAAACCCAUUUUUAUUUGAAAAUAAGAGUUGACAUUUUGAAUUUAAUAUAAAUUAUAUUAAGGUCAUAGGUCUUAAACUUUGAAGUCUCAGGACUCCUUUCUACUCGAAUUACUGGAGACUCCAAAUGGUCUUUGCUCAUGUGGAUUUUAUCUACCAGUAUUUAUUAGAAAUGAAAAAUGAAGUUGGAAAUUUAUAACAAAGGAACAAUGAUAAAGCCUUUACAUGUGAGCAUAAACUCCAUACUUUUAUGAUAAAGGAUUAUAUUCAAAACAAAAAAAUGCAUAUGGGAAAUCUCUCAAUGUCUGUCUUACUGAAACGCAUUUACGCUCUUGGCUGCUUUUGCUUUCUGUGACAUGUUGCUUUGGAAGUAUGUGUCACAUACGUGUAAUUACGAAAAGAGUAUUAGCUGUAGCACGUAAGUGGAUGUACUCUUCAAUAUUGAUAGCUGGCAAGUGAGUUUCACAAAAAUUAGUUGCGGUAUAGAAUAUGAAGCCAUAUCUGUGUCCAUUGGUCUCAGGUGUCGAAUGGCUCUUUUAAAUGCUCGUGACCUCAGCCUUUUGGUUUGGGAAACAUUAGUUCAUUUAGUCCUGCAGGCCUUCUGGGUGUUGACACCUUUCGUUAUAAAACAUCAAAAAAUGAGUUAACAUCACCAUCAAUCUCACCAAAAACCCUCUAGGUAUCAGGAAGCUGUCAAGCUCAUGGCAAGUGCAAGUUUUUGAAAAUCUUAUUUUUCCUUUGAAAGCUUGAUUCUGAUCAUAGGCAAUAAAUACUGUCAGUUAUUUGUCCAUCAAAUGACUGGCUCACUUCGUUUCCAAGAGCGUAUUUGCCAAAUAUCCAAGUCUGGAUAACCAGUUUGUUGGUUCUUUCAAGUGGAUGUGAUCCGUGGGAAGAGUGGACAUGCCAACCGUCAUGUGCAGAAGAAAUCUGAGGUGCUUUACGCAUCCCAUGGGAUAUUAACAUAAAACUAACAUUGAAUGGUUUCUCAAGACAUUCUGAGAUAUGAAGCUGGCGUUAAAAAAAAUUGGUAGUUCAUGGUGGGAUGGUAAAUGCCUACCAGUGCAGUAUGGCUCUGGUGCCUUGAUUGAUGCGAAGGCACCAGCUGUCUUAUUGCCACCACUGCUUGCACACCAUCGGGCGCAAGUGUCAAGGAGGCAGAUGAUGACUAUCGGGAAGAUAGUUUGGCUGUGUGGCCCCUUGGAGAUUGGUGGCUCAUGUUUGGAAGCAGACUUUUGAAGAGUUGGGAGAUAGUUUCCAUUUAGUAGGAAUUUUAAUGUGGUACCAAUUGUCCAAAACAACGUGUAACUCCAGAUUCAUAUUCAUCUUAGACAUGCAUUCAAGACAUACCAGCCUCACUACCUUGUUUUGUUUCUACUGUGCUGCCAUUGGUUUGUACACUCCCUGCCUCGAACAGCAGACAGCUGACAUCUCUUCUGGAGGGGGGUGGGCUGUCCGAAGUUCAGAUACUCCAAGGAGCGAAUCAUCUUCCUGUGGAUAAUGGAGUGGUAAAAUGACUCUCCACCUUAGUGGCUUAGCUGAAAAGCCAGACUACACAAUUAAAAAUUACAGGUCUUGAAAAUACUUGGUGCCAACCUUUAUGUAGCAUUUAACUGAGAAUGUAUCUGGGGUUGGGUUGAGAAUUUUCAUGAAGCCAUUGCCCUUUGCGACACUGAGAACCUCAGUCAUUUCUUAGUGUCCAGAGUGCCCCAGACACUGCCAGAAUGUGAAGAGCUGAGGUUGCUUCUCUAAGGAGCAUCCUGUCAAGUGGAGAACCGUUUGCCUUCUUGUGUAUAACUAGAGUCCCUUUUAACUCGAGUGGACAGUCAUCGAAUAAUAAUCUCAUACCUUGGGCAGCAGGUAUUUGUGCUUUCAUUUAAACUUUGACAAUAGUGUUUCUUGCUCAAACUUUAUUAAAAAAAAAAGUUGGACUUCUGGUCAUGGCUCAGAGGAAACGAAUCUGACUAGCAUCCAUGAGGACCCAGGUUCCAUCCCUGGCAUCGCUUAGUGGGUUAAAGAUCCAGUGUUGCUGUGAGCUGUGGUGUAGGUUGCAGAUGUGGUUCAGAUCUGGCAUUGGUGUAGGAUUUUGAACCCUUAGCCUGGAAACCUCCAUGUGCCAUGAGUGCAGCCCUAAAACCACACACACGUACACGUGUUAAUUCUUGCAAAUGAUGGAUUUCCACUAGUCUCCCCCCCGAGGCUGAGGAUGCCUCUGCAUCUGGCAGGCCAUGUGCCCCUUAGGAAAGGAGUGGAAAACCUGUAGCUUACAUGAAAAAUCCUGCCACACACGCCUGUCUUCUCCCUGUCUUCGUUCGAGGCCAGACAGGUUUGCAAGACGCGGAGCUGACAGCUCUUGCUGUGCUGUCCUGCAGUGUACCCUGCUUCUCUUCUUACCUCAUCGUCUGCUUCGGGACGUCGAAAUUGUGGAUCAGUUUUCUCUUACUAAAGUAUUAAAUGUUUGAUGGAAGGAACUCUGGGCAGCAUGUGUCCUAAUGGCCCCUGUACUCGGCACCACGUGGUACCCAGCCUGGUACAUAGCGGGGUUAGUCACUGCAUUGCCUGUAGAGUGUGUGGGUGCUUCAGUGAGUACAGCCGAACUGACUGGCCGGCAAACCUGGAGCAUCAGCACAGUCCUGACGUCCCCCGUCAGGCUGUGGACGCGCAUCAGCCAGCGGGCAGCGGCGGUGAGGCCUAGAGGCUGGACGGUACCUGGCCCCCGCAGAGUUGAGGUGCAGCCUGCUUCCGAGCCCUGAAUGAGCUUUCUCACCAUUGUAUCUGUUCCUUUGGGAUGUGCUUUCAGCCUGUGAGACUUUCCGAAUCUGAAGAUGAUGAAAGUAAAGCCUUGCAUCCCCAAGGCUUUUAGAUUUUACAGCCCAUCCCUUAGGGCUGGGGAAGUGACUCCACUGAUGCUUCAGCUUCCUCCUGUGUAUGAAGCCGUGUUGUAGAAAGGGUUACGGGGAACUACAAAAUAUUUCGAAACUGGAAAUAAGUGAAUUCUUGUCCAUGCCGCUGAAGAGUCUCGUAGGCUCUCUUACUGGGGGUAUACAUCAUUAGAUGUUAUAUUUACUCAUUGAAAAACUGUCUCAUUAGUGACAAUACCCACAUGCCUACUCAAACUCCUGGUAGCCAUAAAAGCAGAAUUUUUGUGUACAGAUAUACAGGGCCCUUCAUGGGACCAAGGACGGGGAAUGUGGCCAGACUUCGAGGGGCUUGGAACCAGGGUAGGGCUCACGUCCACUCCCCUCCCUCCUUGAAUUGGCUUUAUUCUUCUCUAUGGUAUCAUUUGGGCUUUCUGCACUUGCCUGCUUUCAGGUUCUAAAACCACCCCGUCAGGUUCUGAGUGUGCCAGUCCCAAGUUCAAAUGAGAGUCAAUGAGACAGGAGUCUCAGCUCAAAUUCCCAGCAGAGAGGAUAUGGUCGGCCUGCCUGGUCAGCUGCCCACUCUGAUGCAGCAAAUUCCACCUAGAGGGAAGGAGUCUGGGGAGCGAAUAACUUAAAGGGAUGAAGUAAGAGGCCAGCAUCCGAGAGCCAUCUCGGGACUCUGGAAAUAGUCUGCCAAGGCUGCCGAGCUCAGCAAGUUGGGUCUGAUCCUGCUGGAAUUCCUUGUCUCCUACUGACUUUCCAUAGUUGCCUUAGAAGACACCUGUCACCCCGCCCCGGUCUUUGUGAGGCCCUGAGGACCCAUCCUUGUCUGAGAUGGAAUUUUCAUAGCAGGGCAGCCCAGUCUUGUCUGUCUCUACCAUGCUGGUGGUGAAAUAGUAAUUUUGUCAAAGUAGAAUUCGCAUGGACAGCUCUGGAGCAUGUCAGGAAAAAAACCAUCUUAAAUUUGGUCUCUUUGAGUUGGGCUGUUGUUGGGGGUUUGGGGAGGAGGGGAGCGGUAGAGAUGAGCAACCCUCUUGUACCCUCUGUUUUCUUAGAGAAAGUUGUAUCCGUCCACUUGAUGUUUCAGAAAUAUCUUCGAUAGGACCCUUCAGCAAUGCAUUUUUAACAUCAGGUUAGGCAUUUGUUAAAGAUGAUUGUUCGUUGUCAACCAACUUUACCUGGCAGCUCUGAACACAGUUGCGUUUUCAUGCUGGAUGCUCACGAGAUCUGUUUACAGCUGGGUACCUACGAGUGCAUCGAGCUAAUAAAGUCCCCUGGUUAAAGGGUGUGUCCUAGAUCUAACAUUUGAAAUCCUUGCCGUUAAGUAUGAUAUGAGCAGAUCUUCACGUUGUGGUGAAGCUUAACCAUUUUUGAUGGUUCAUCUUUGAUCAUAAUCUCUAAUUUUUAUAAUUGCUCUCGGGAACCUCUCCGGGAUGUCCUGAGUUUUUGACUGGUGUCCCUCCCCUUACACAGCAGAUAAAGUCGGGUCAUUGGGUUCAGGAAGGGAGUUUGCUUCCCCCUUCUGACUUUAAUGAAAUCACCAAGGAAUUCUCCAAUAGAAAAUGUGGAAAAUACUUGGAAAUGAAUUACAAUGAUAGGUUCCUGUGGCUUGCUCUGAGCUUUUGUGGCCCUGGCUGACUUUUUCUAGACUCUCAAAACAAGUGUCUAGAUAGCACUUCAGGCCCUUUCAUCCUUUUCAUCUUCAGUUGCUAAGACCUGUUCUAUCAGUGAGACUUGUCUUUUUCAUUGUUCGUAGUUAGGAUGUCACAUUGAAAUAGGUGGCUUACUACUUGGCUGGUAUUACUCUUGAACAUGUCCUAUAGUCCACCUUGCAAGUUCUUUUUUGGGCUUCAGGUUCCUAAACAUUCAUGUUGUCCAUUUUGUGGAGAACGCCCUUGGCCGUGGCUGCAGAUGUGAACAUGGACUCUUUCUAGACAAUGUUCGUUAAUGCCCAUCUCUACUCUGCAGAGGUGUUUUCACAGAAUGAAAGAGUGGCCCACGGUGCUCUCUAGGGUAACUUCUAUCGCAACACGUCAGGCUUCAGUUGCAGAGACUCAGUUUUGUUGUCGAGGGUUCUUAAAAGGUAGGAUAAAGUUACAUUAACUGCUCCCUGCAUGCAGCCUCUGGGUCCUGCAUUGCUGUAUAUAUGUAAUGCUUAAAAUGGUGGUUGCUUCCUAAGUAUUGCUGAAUUAAAGAAAUAGCUGCAUGGGGACCCUUCUGAAACUCCUGUAAGGUUGUAUUUUGAGCCAGCCGAAGUCUGACUGGUCACUUGGAGUCUUUUUUGAAUAAGGAUUAAAACCCCUCUUAGGUUAGUUGCAAAUACAAACUCGGGUUUCUUACUCUGCAGGAUGUGUAGUCACAGGAGACUGGGCUGUGUCUUCCCUGCUCCUCUGCCCUAGGACUGCCUACUUGAUUAAUUCAGUUUAAGCUCUUCCCUCUAGGCUACUAAUCCUAUUUUUCCAGCAGAGAAGCAGCGGGAGGGAAUAGUAAUAUGUCUCAUGGCUAUUAAAAGAUGAUACUGCCUUGCACAAAGUACUUAUUCUCUGAAAAAGGAUGAUUAAGCAGAAAUUUGAUUCUCAUCUAUGCUUUUGCUUUUGUCAUAUUCCUUUAUCUUCUAGUGUAGUCGGGGGAGAAGCAUCAUUUUUAUCGUCAUUGCUGAUAAUUUUCAGCAUCAUAACAGGAUGCUUGUUGAGACGUGCUUACAUUUUACCAAACCAUUAUGAACCCUAGUUGCCAGAGGGGGAGAAGACAGUGAAAAUUGAAAUGAUCUUUGGCAUGUGGUGUUUUCUGAAAUACUAAUUUGAAAUAAGAAGCAUGUUUUAUGGUCUCUGCCAACAAUAUCCUCCAAAUUCCUAUAGGUCAGCUUUUCUCACUGAAUACUUUUGUCCUUCAGUUUAUAUAUACACGCGGAGAAGGCGUCUUUAAAACUGAGACCAUUCUAAUUCAUAAGCCGGCAGCUAACCCAGACCCUUUAAAACCCCUGUUGAAUGUGUUAAUGAAAACCAAGGGAAGUGCUAUAGUACGGGAGGGGAUGAGACUCCUCUUUGCCCUGUAGAUUGAACCAGUAAAUUUCUAGGACAUUUCGAGUUAAGUAUUGCAACUGCUUGUCCACAGGUGAUGGAGUGGAGUUCUGAUGUACUUCUGCUUUUGCUGCGGGGUCUUGAAUUCUAAAUUUCAGCCUGAUGGGCGCAUAGAUGUUAGAUCGUGCUCUGAGCUUUUUUUCUGUGGCUGGAAUAUUUCGCCAUCACCAUCAUCAUGGCCAUCUUCAUCAUCUUGCGUCACUGGAUCCUCUGAUCCAGCUUCGGAGAAUCCUUCUGUAAGAAGGAAUCUUAAAUAUGGAAGAUGUUGGUAUAGCAGACUUGCCAUUGUGGAUUCACUUAACAUAGCAAGAAAUCCAAAGCAUCCUUUAUGUCCAGUUUUAAGGUAGAUUUGGUGAUGACCACUUGCUAUACAUUCACAUAGACGACAUUUUCAUUCAAACUGCUGUUCUUUCAAAUAUGAAAACAGACCCUGCCACUUACAAGAAAUUAUAUUUUACAAUAUGACGAGUGGUUUAAUAAACCCUGCAGGUAAAAACCUGAAUGGUGAUGGUGACAGAGGACAGUAAACUUUUCAUCGUUUUCUGAUUUUUUGCAUUUUCAGUUUUUUAAAGGGAACCACAUUUGUAUAAUGGAACAUUGAAACAUCAUGUAGGUAUUUUAAAGUGAACAAGACAUAGCUAGAAAUGACCCUUUGGUAAAAAGUGUAACUUGUAAAAUGAGUCUUGUUGGGUGUAGAAGUGUCUUUGGUAUGUUUUGGGGCCGGGCUGCUGGGAGGUAAACAGGUUCCAGUCAGCAGCUCUCAGUUGAGUCAUAGCUCCUGAAUGCUGGCUCUAAGUCCAGGAUAAAGGAAUUGGAAAGAGAGGGAAGGUGUUUGAACAGGUCAGUGGGCACCAAAGGCACCAGUGAUCUCACUCAUGCCGUAUCUUGGACCAACUGUCUUGCAUUUAGCUUUGUUCUUAUUACCAUUAUACUUUCUAGUGCUAUGAACUUUGGAUGCAAUGUCAGUUUUGAAUUAAGAUCUGUCCUGAGUUGGAGAAGCAGAGGCGAAAACAAAAUGCCAAUCAAUGAUGCAUUCUAAAUCUAAGUUGUUAUUAUCUUAAGAAAUGUGUGUUCUUAAUUUUACUUGAUGAAGGUGGACCGGCUACAGGGUUUUUUCAAAGUAGAAUAAGGCUGAAUACGGGCCCGGCUGGUUUUCUUGUCUAUACGAUGGAAACGAUAUGACCGUUCUCAGAGGAUUUUGUGCUUAUGAAAUGAGAGAAUGAUUAUGCAGGCUCUUGAUACAGUGAGUUCAUGAUAUCUACUUGGUAGAUGAUUAUCACAAACUAAUGAAUUAAAUGGUAUUUCUUAAUGCUGUGCCUUGGAAUAGUCUGUCAUACUAGCUUAGAAGAGAAAACCGGUCUACUUUGUAAAUGGUUCCUUAGCUGUGCACAUGAAUGGGAGCAGGAUUAUAGGUAAGCUCUUUGGUGAGAGAUUUUUUCUGGUGAACUUGUAAGCAAAGAAAAGGGUAACAUAAACAAGAGUGUAAUGGUAUUAAUUUGAAUUAAUAUGACAGUUACCUAGUUAUCUUCUUUUGCUCUUCAUUUAAUAUUUUACCAUUUUAUAACUUGAUCUCUGGGGCAUUUUGAACAGAAGAAAUUUGGCAGAGUAUACUUGUUUCAGUGGAGUUCCUAAAAACAAUUUUUGAGGACUGAAUUUUUGGUCUUUUUGCUAUUUCUUGGGCUGCUCCCGCAGCACAUUGGAGGUUCCCAGGCUAGGGGUCGAAUCAGAGCUGUAGCCACUGGCCUACGCCAGAGCCACAGCAAUGCAGUAUCCGAGCUGCAUCUGCGACCUCUACGCCACAGCUUUAACCCACUGAGCAAGGCCAGGGAUGGAACCCCCAACCUCAUGGUUCCUAGUCGGAUUUGUUAACUACUGCGCCACGACGAGGACUCCUGAGGACUGGAUUUAAAUAUUCCCAGAAAGGUGGAGCGAGUCCACCUGUAAUGGGAUAAUCUAUGUCAUCCUGUGUGCCAGGUGGAUGUCACGGAUGCUUUGUCAGUGGCUGCAAAAAUGUGUAAGCUUCUUGAGAUCAGAAUUGUUCACCUCUGUUCUUCUAGUCCUGAGAAUAUUCUUAGCACGUAGUAAUGAAUAGAUGGUACAUGACUACCCAGUUCCUUAAAGCUUCAACUCUAACCCGAUGAAAGAAACACAACUGUUCUGCUCUUUUUAUAGUGUGAAAUAUUUAAUAAUUUCUGGGAAAGCAGUCUUCACUCCUCAGCAUUCAAAACAUGUACCAGCACCUUCUUGGUCUUCUAAAACUUUUUCCCCUCUCCCAGCGAUGGCACAUUUGCUCUGCUCAAAUUCGAAGUCUCAUCAUGGACCAACUCAUCCAGCGAAUCUCGUCCAAGGGGCCCCGCACACACAAGAAAAGCUUCAUGUUUUCAUACUAACAGUUGUGUUCUUAUGCUUGAUUUCCAUAGUUGCCUAUAUUAUGUCAGUCUAAGGAGCUGGAAAGAAAUUUUAACAGGGUAUUGGGGUUGAGAGUGCCUUAAAAAUCGUGGUAGGGAGACGUUUUGCCUUGAAUGAUGAAAUGAACCCCACAUUUGCAGUGUUAAUGAUUUUCAAUGGCGUGUCCUCGUAUGAUGGCUCUUUUUUGGCUUUUUAGGGCCACAUGUGCAGCAUAUGGAAGUUCCCAGGCUAGGGGCUGAAUCAGCUCCAGCUGCCGACCUACAUCACAGCUACAGCAACUCAGGAUCCGAGCCGUGUCUGUGACACCAUAGCUCCGCAACACCGGAUCAAACCUGCAUUCUCAUGGAUACUAGCUGGAUUUGUUUCCAUUGCAUCGCAGUGGAAACGCUCUGGUUGAUUGCCUUUCUGGCUCAGCUGAGCUCAGCUUAAAACUAAAAGUUGUUUGGCAAAUUUUGAAGAAAGUUUUAUUCUAAAUUUCCAUUCUCAAAAUGCACCGGGAAGAUCGAUGUAAACGAAAGAGAAUGUGAAUGUAGAUGUUGGGACACUUAGAUGGUCCUCGAUAAAGAGAACGCCUCCCCAGGUUAAGUGGCACCAACGUUCAUCACCAACAGCCCAGGGACGUGCCUCACUUUAAUUCAGGUUUCUAAUACAUAUAUCACAUACAUGUUACAUAAUGUUAGGUUUCUGUCUAAUACAUAUAUCACAUACAUGUUAUAUGAUGUUAGGUUUCUCUCUAAUACGUAUAUCACAUGUUAUAUGUUAGGUUUCUGUCUAAUACAUAUAUCACAUACAUGUUAUAUAAUGUUAGAUAACAUAAAAUCAUAGUCUUAUAUUCAGAACUGGGUUUUCAUGAACAGAAAACUGGAUUCCCGGCCUCCUCUUGGAGUAUAUAGUGCUCCAUGUAAUUACAUAGACCUCUCAGUAUCUGUAAAACUAACAAGAUUAAGGCCUCAUCUCUUUAUAGAAGACACCCUGACUAGCCAUGUGGGUCCCA
Sus scrofa (pig) is the source of this 12090-nucleotide non-coding RNA. The record is from RefSeq and is a predicted model, not a curated record. Lineage: Eukaryota; Metazoa; Chordata; Mammalia; Artiodactyla; Suidae.